UGAGGAAUAUUGGUCAAUGGACGCAAGUCUGAACCAGCCAUGCCGCGUGAAGGAUGAAGGCCUUCUGGGUUGUAAACUUCUUUUAUAGGGGAAGAACAGCAUUGUUUCUACGAUGUCCGACGGUACCCUAGGAAUAAGCACCGGCUAACUCCGUGCCAGCAGCCGCGGUAAUACGGAGGGUGCAAGCGUUAUCCGGAUUCACUGGGUUUAAAGGGUGUGUAGGCGGGCAUUUAAGUCAGUGGUGAAAUCUCCGAGCUCAACUUGGAAACUGCCAUUGAUACUAUUUGUCUUGAAUGUUGUUGAGGUGGGCGGAAUAAGUCAUGUAGCGGUGAAAUGCAUAGAUAUGACUUAGAACACCAAUUGCGAAGGCAGCUCACUAAACAAUAAUUGACGCUGAGGCACGAAAGCGUGGGGAUCAAACA
RNAcentral lists this ribosomal RNA (422 nucleotides) under uncultured bacterium. Its description in RNAcentral is "bacterial SSU rRNA". It matches the Rfam family "Bacterial small subunit ribosomal RNA", at positions 355 to 774 of the family's 1533-position model. The record is from RNAcentral.